GAUGAACGCUGGCGGCGUGCCUAAUACAUGCAAGUCGAGCGAACAGAUGAGGAGCUUGCUCCUCUGACGUUAGCGGCGGACGGGUGAGUAACACGUGGAUAACCUACCUAUAAGACUGGGGUAACUUCGGGAAACCGGAGCUAAUACCGGAUAAUAUAUUGAACCGCAUGGUUCAAUAGUGGAAGACGGUUUUGCUGUCACUUAUAGAUGGAUCCGCGCCGCAUUAGCUAGUUGGUAAGGUAACGGCUUACCAAGGCAACGAUGCGUAGCCGACCUGAGAGGGUGAUCGGCCACACUGGAACUGAGACACGGUCCAGACUCCUACGGGAGGCAGCAGUAGGGAAUCUUCCGCAAUGGGCGAAAGCCUGACGGAGCAACGCCGCGUGAGUGAUGAAGGUCUUCGGAUCGUAAAACUCUGUUAUUAGGGAAGAACAAAUGUGUAAGUAACUAUGCACGUCUUGACGGUACCUAAUCAGAAAGCCACGGCUAACUACGUG
This 497-nucleotide ribosomal RNA is filed under the name uncultured bacterium. RNAcentral's name for it is "partial 16S ribosomal RNA". It matches the Rfam family "Bacterial small subunit ribosomal RNA", at positions 28 to 507 of the family's 1533-position model. The record is from RNAcentral.